GAUGAACGCUGGCGGCGUGCCUAAUACAUGCAAGUAGAACGCUGAAGCUUGGUGCUUGCACCGAGCGGAUGAGUUGCGAACGGGUGAGUAACGCGUAGGUAACCUGCCUCUUAGCGGGGGAUAACUAUUGGAAACGAUAGCUAAUACCGCAUAAAAGUCGACAUUGCAUGAUGUUGACUUGAAAGGUGCAACUGCAUCACUAAGAGAUGGACCUGCGUUGUAUUAGCUAGUUGGUGAGGUAACGGCUCACCAAGGCGACGAUACAUAGCCGACCUGAGAGGGUGAUCGGCCACACUGGGACUGAGACACGGCCCAGACUCCUACGGGAGGCAGCAGUAGGGAAUCUUCGGCAAUGGACGGAAGUCUGACCGAGCAACGCCGCGUGAGUGAAGAAGGUUUUCGGAUCGUAAAGCUCUGUUGUAAGAGAAGAACGAGUGUGAGAGUGGAAAGUUCACACUGUGACGGUAACUACCAGAAA
Molecule: ribosomal RNA, 478 nt
Filed under: Streptococcus parasanguinis
Lineage: Bacteria; Bacillati; Bacillota; Bacilli; Lactobacillales; Streptococcaceae
Description: bacterial SSU rRNA
Rfam family: Bacterial small subunit ribosomal RNA
Source: RNAcentral